GACGAACGCUGGCGGCGUGCCUAAUACAUGCAAGUCGAGCGCAGGGAACUGACGGAACUCUUCGGAGGGAAGGCAGCGGAAUGAGCGGCGGACGGGUGAGUAACACGUAAGGAACCUGCCUCAAGGAUUGGGAUAACUCCGAGAAAUCGGAGCUAGUACCGGAUAGUUCAUCGGACCGCAUGGUCCGCUGAUGAAAGGCGCUCCGGCGUCACCUUGAGAUGGCCUUGCGGUGCAUUAGCUAGUUGGUGGGGCAACGGCCCACCAAGGCGACGAUGCAUAGCCGACCUGAGAGGGUGAUCGGCCACACUGGGACUGAGACACGGCCCAGACUCCUACGGGAGGCAGCAGUAGGGAAUCUUCCACAAUGGACGAAAGUCUGAUGGAGCAACGCCGCGUGAGUGAUGAAGGUUUUCGGAUCGUAAAACUCUGUUGUAAGGGAAGAACACGUACGAGAGGGAAUGCUCGUACCUUGACGGUACCUUACGAGGAAGCCACGGCUAACUACGUGCCAGCCGCCGCGGUAA
Molecule: ribosomal RNA, 524 nt
Filed under: uncultured bacterium
Lineage: Bacteria
Description: partial 16S ribosomal RNA
Rfam family: Bacterial small subunit ribosomal RNA
Source: RNAcentral